GAAGAUCUCAUAAAGAAGGCUUAGAAACGUAACGUGGCUUUUCAGACAGACAAGGCGUCAGUGCCGAUGGGCUUUGAUUUCAUUAGCAAAUGGAGGACGGACUAACAGUGCCACCUGGUGUAAGAUGCCGAGUACUCUCUGAUGUGUCCCGGAACAGUGCGGAUUUUUCUCUUCUUGUCUUCUGGAAAGUGAAUCUGCAAAGUAGAGUUUCCCAGAGUCCUGUUUUGCAAUGGAAGCUGUGGAGGCACUAUUUAUGGAGGUAUUCAAGGCCAUGCUGGAUGAAGCUCUGGACAGUCCAGUGAGAAGCGUCCCUGCCCAUGGCAGGAGGGAUGGAGAUUAUACCCAUCAGAAUGGAGAAAGAAAGGGAGAACAGGAGGGAGUGAGCCAG
This is a long non-coding RNA of Lagopus muta (rock ptarmigan), 388 nucleotides long. RefSeq lists it as uncharacterized. The record is from RefSeq and is a predicted model, not a curated record. The transcript has 4 exons. NCBI's taxonomy places the organism in Eukaryota, Metazoa, Chordata, Aves, Galliformes, Phasianidae.